Molecule: ribosomal RNA, 296 nt
Filed under: uncultured bacterium
Lineage: Bacteria
Description: partial 16S ribosomal RNA
Rfam family: Bacterial small subunit ribosomal RNA
Source: RNAcentral
UUUUCCUACGGGACGCAGCAGUGGGGGAUAUUGCACAAUGGGGGAAACCCUGAUGCAGCGACGCCGCGUGAGCGAUGAAGUAUUUCGGUAUGUAAAGCUCUAUCAGCAGGGAAGAAAAUGACGGUACCUGACUAAGAAGCCCCGGCUAACUACGUGCCAGCAGCCGCGGUAAUACGUAGGUGGCAAGCGUUGUCCGGAUUUACUGGGUGUAAAGGGCGUGUAGCCGGGCUGACAAGUCAGAUGUGAAAUCCCGUGGCUCAACCACGGGACUGCAUUUGAAACUGUCGGUCUUGAGU